GGAAAAAAACUGAUUCGGGCUCGGCCGAUCCUCCCACCCUUUGUGUACCUACCUCUGUUGCUUUGGCGGGCCGCGGUCCUCCGCGGCCGCCCCCCUCCCCGGGGGGGUGGCCAGCGCCCGCCAGAGGACCAUCAAACUCCAGUCAGUAAACGAUGCAGUCUGAAAAACAUUUAAUAAACUAAAACUUUCAACAACGGAUCUCUUGGUUCUGGCAUCGAUGAAGAACGCAGCGAAAUGCGAUAAGUAAUGUGAAUUGCAGAAUUCAGUGAAUCAUCGAAUCUUUGAACGCACAUUGCGCCCUUUGGUAUUCCGAAGGGCAUGCCUGUUCGAGCGUCAUUACAACCCUCAAGCUCUGCUUGGUAUUGGGCACCGUCCUUUGCGGGCGCGCCUCAAAGACCUCGGCGGUGGCGUCUUGCCUCAAGCGUAGUAGAACAUACAUCUCGCUUCGGAGCGCAGGGCGUCGCCCGCCGGACGAACCUUCUGAACUUUUCUCAAGGUUGACCUCGGAUCAGGUAGGGAUACCCGCUGAACUUAAGCAUAUCAAAGACCGGAAGGAA
RNAcentral lists this ribosomal RNA (557 nucleotides) under Botryosphaeria dothidea. RNAcentral's name for it is "eukaryotic LSU rRNA". The stretch from base 183 to 336 matches the Rfam family "5.8S ribosomal RNA". Lineage: Eukaryota; Fungi; Ascomycota; Dothideomycetes; Botryosphaeriales; Botryosphaeriaceae. The record is from RNAcentral.